Molecule: ribosomal RNA, 273 nt
Filed under: uncultured bacterium
Lineage: Bacteria
Description: partial 16S ribosomal RNA
Rfam family: Bacterial small subunit ribosomal RNA
Source: RNAcentral
UACAGAGGGUGCGAACGUUGCUCGGAAUUACUGGGCGUAAAGCGCGUGUAGGCGGUCCGUUAAGUUGGUAGUGAAAUCCCAUGGCUCAACCAUGGAAGUGCUGCCAAAACUGGCGGGCUGGAGUGCCGGAGAGGGUGGCGGAAUUCCCAGUGUAGAGGUGAAAUUCGUAGAUAUUGGGAGGAACACCGGUGGCGAAGGCGGCCACCUGGACGGUAACUGACGCUAAGACGCGAAAGCGUGGGGAGCAAACAGGAUUAGAAACCCCCGUAGUCC